AUGACUGUGGGCCAGUAUUUUAAUAUAUUUUUUUGUAAUUUUUAUUUAUUUAUGAUAGUCACAGAGAGAGAGAGAGGGCAGAGACACAGGCAGAGGGAGAAGCAGGCUCCAUGCACCGGGAGCCCGACGUGGGAUUCGACCCCGGGUCUCCAGGAUCGCGCCCUGGGCCAAAGUCAUUCUGACAGAUGUGAAGUUAUAGCUCAUGGUGGUUUUGGUUUGCAUUUAUUUGAUGGUCAUGAUCUCCUGGACCAAGCCCUGCAUUGGACUCUGCGCUCAGAUUCUCUCUCCCUCUCCUGCCAGUUCACGCAUGCACAUGAUAUUUCUCUCAAAUAA
RNAcentral lists this long non-coding RNA (333 nucleotides) under Canis lupus familiaris (dog). Its description in RNAcentral is "lncRNA (ENSCAFG00040002572.1)". The record is from RNAcentral. Lineage: Eukaryota; Metazoa; Chordata; Mammalia; Carnivora; Canidae.